ACUCCGACUGCUCUGAGGUCCAGGGAAGGGGCCUGUGCUGCCGCUUGGAGGGUGCCAUGCCCAGAGCCUCUGCCCCUAGCCUCAGCCUCGCCUACUCACUGGGGGCUCCAGCACCCCCGGCCACCCCAGGACUCCCGAAGAGGCUGCUAGGUCGGCCUGCCCAAAGAGCGGUGAGGAGCGUAUGUGAAGAGCCCCAGUCUUGAGGAGCAGCCUGUAUCUGGAGAGAGGGGAGCCCCGGACCAGAGGUGGGGGACAGGAAGCCAUCGCCCCACCCUGCCUCCUCCCCCACCACAGGUACCAGGCCCGGAAACCACGGAAAGGGGAACUUGGUCUUUUCUUGUUUUGCUCUCAACCCCUUCCUGUCUCCAAG
This 370-nucleotide long non-coding RNA is filed under the name Homo sapiens (human). RNAcentral describes it as "non-protein coding lnc-BOLA2B-1:7". Lineage: Eukaryota; Metazoa; Chordata; Mammalia; Primates; Hominidae. The record is from RNAcentral.